GACGAACGCUGGCGGCGUGCUUAACACAUGCAAGUCGAACGGAAAGGCCUCUUUCGGGGGGUACUCGAGUGGCGAACGGGUGAGUAACACGUGAGUAACCUGCCCUUGACUUUGGGAUAACUUCAGGAAACUGGGGCUAAUACCGGAUAGGAGCUCCUGCUGCAUGGUGGGGGUUGGAAAGUUUCGGCGGUUGGGGAUGGACUCGCGGCUUAUCAGCUUGUUGGUGGGGUAGUGGCUUACCAAGGCUUUGACGGGUAGCCGGCCUGAGAGGGUGACCGGCCACAUUGGGACUGGGAUACGGCCCAGACUCCUACGGGAGGCAGCAGUGGGGAAUAUUGCACAAUGGGCGGAAGCCUGAUGCAGCAACGCCGCGUGCGGGAUGACGGCCUUCGGGUUGUAAACCGCUUUCGCCUGUGACGAAGCGUGAGUGACGGUAAUGGGUAAAGAAGCACCGGCUAACUACGUG
RNAcentral lists this ribosomal RNA (466 nucleotides) under uncultured bacterium. RNAcentral's name for it is "partial 16S ribosomal RNA". It matches the Rfam family "Bacterial small subunit ribosomal RNA", at positions 28 to 507 of the family's 1533-position model. The record is from RNAcentral.